This 305-nucleotide unclassified non-coding RNA is filed under the name plant metagenome. Its description in RNAcentral is "partial contains 5.8S ribosomal RNA, internal transcribed spacer 2, and large subunit ribosomal RNA". The stretch from base 1 to 105 matches the Rfam family "5.8S ribosomal RNA", at positions 50 to 154 of the family's 154-position model. The record is from RNAcentral.
GAAAUGCGAUAAGUAGUGUGAAUUGCAGAAUUCAGUGAAUCAUCGAAUCUUUGAACGCACAUUGCGCCCUUUGGUAUUCCUUAGGGCAUGCCUGUUCGUGCGUCAUCUAAACCUUCAAGCCCUGCUUGGUGUUGGGUGCCUGUCCCGCCUCCGCGCGCGGACUCACCUCAAAUCCAUUGGCGGCCCCCGCGUCGGCCACGAGCGCAGCAGAAACGCGAACUCGUGAGCCCGUCCGGGCGGCUCCCAGAAGCUACACCCACCCAGUUUGACCUCGGAUCAGGUAGGGAUACCCGCUGAACUUAAGC